AAAGAGUGCGUAAUAGCUCACUGGUCGAGUGAAGUUGCGCGGAAAAUUACCGGGGCUAAACUAUACACCGAAAUUGCGGAUUUAUACAGUAGUAUAAGUGGUAGAGGAGCAUUCUGUUGUAGGACGAAGCAUGAUCGAAAGGACAUGUGGACGAAGCAGAAGAGAGAAUGCCGGAAUAAGUAGCGAAAGCAUGGUGAGAAUCCAUGCCAUCGAAAGUCUAAGGUUUCCUGGGGAAGGUUCGUCCGCCCAGGGUAAGUCGGGACCUAAGGUGAGGCCGAAAGGCGUAGCCGAUGGACAGCAGGUAGAAAUUCCUGCACCACCGAUAUACUUAAAAAGCACAAGGGACACAGGAGUGGAAGAGAAGCGAGGAAGAGGAAAAACUCGUAUCGAAAGAUAUAGUGAAAAUAAAGUAACGAAUUCUCAAGAAGCACACUGGCGAGAAAAGCUUGUGAGUCUUGUAUAUAGGUGCCCGUACCGCAAACCGACACAGGUAGAUGAGGAGAAGAUCCUAAGAUGAGCGAGAGAAGCAUUGUUAAGGAACUCGGCAAAUUGACCCCGUAACUUAGGGAUAAGGGGUACCAGUGUAACAGCUGGUCGCAGUGAAUCGGUCCAAGCAACUGUUUAACAAAAACACAGGUUUCUGCUAAAUCGAAAGAUGAAGUAUAGGAGCUGACGCCUGCCCAGUGCUGGAAGGUUAAGGGAAAGAGUUAGGGUUAAACCGAAGCUUAGAACUGAAGCCCCAGUGAACGGCGGCCGUAACUAUAACGGUCCUAAGGUAGCGAAAUUCCUUGUCAGGUAAGUUCUGACCCGCACGAAAGGCGUAAUGAUUUGGACACUGUCUCGACAAUGUACUCGGCGAAAUUGUAGUACUAGUGAAGAUGCUAGUUACCUGCGACAAGACAGAAAGACCCCAUGGAGCUUUACUGUAGCUUGAUACUGGGUUUCGAUAAUUUAUGUACAGGAUAGGUGGGAGACUAAGAGUCAUAGGCGUCAGCUUAUGAGGAGUCACCCUUGGGAUACCACCCUUAAGUUAUUGAAAUUCUAACCAAUCGUCGUAAACCGGCGAGGGGACAAUGUCAGGUGGGCAGUUUGACUGGGGCGGUCGCCUCCAAAAGAGUAACGGAGGCGCGCAAAGGUUUCCUCAGCACGGACAGAAAUCGUGCGAAAGAGUGCAAAGGCAGAAGGAAGCUUAACUGAGAGACUGACAAGUCGACCAGAUACGAAAGUAGGUCUUAGUGAUCCGGCGGUAGUGAGUGGAAAUGCCGUCGCUCAACGGACAAAAGUUACCCUGGGGAUAACAGGCUUAUCUCCCCCAAGAGUUCACAUCGACGGGGAGGUUUGGCACCUCGAUGUCGGCUCAUCACAUCCUGGAGCGGAAGUACGUUCCAAGGGUUGGGCUGUUCGCCCAUUAAAGUGGUACGCGAGCUGGGUUCAGAACGUCGUGAGACAGUUCGGUCCUUAUCUGUCGCAGGCGGAGGAUAUUUGAAGGGAGUUGGCCCUAGUACGAGAGGACCAGGCUGAACGAACCGCUGGUGCACCAGUUGUCAUACCAAUGGCACAGCUGGGUAGCUAAGUUCGGAAGGGAUAAACGCUGAAAGCAUCUAAGUGUGAAGCCCACCCUAAGAUAAGAUAUCCCAUACCGUAAGGUAGUAAGAUUCCACGUAGACUAUGUGGUUGAUAGGUUGGAGGUGUAAGUACAGUAAUGUAUUAAGCUGACCAAUACUAAUAAAUCGAGGGCUUAACCAC
RNAcentral lists this ribosomal RNA (1746 nucleotides) under human metagenome. RNAcentral describes it as "bacterial LSU rRNA". It matches the Rfam family "Bacterial large subunit ribosomal RNA", at positions 1125 to 2925 of the family's 2925-position model. The record is from RNAcentral.